Non-coding RNA from Kwoniella shivajii, 90 nucleotides. The record is from the annotation of a RefSeq genome assembly. Lineage: Eukaryota; Fungi; Basidiomycota; Tremellomycetes; Tremellales; Cryptococcaceae.
ACACCGUUGGUGAAACGGUAUCAUGCGUCGUUGCCACUUGGACUCAACUCCAGAUUCGAUGCGGCAAGGGUUCGACUCCCUUACGGUGUA